UACGAAGGGGGCUAGCGUUGCUCGGAAUCACUGGGCGUAAAGGGUGCGUAGGCGGGUCUUUAAGUCAGGGGGUGAAAUCUCGGAGCUUAACUCCGAAACUGCAUUCGAUACUGCCGUGCUUGAGGACUGGAGAGGAGACUGGAAUUUACGGUGUAGCGGUGAAAUGCGUAGAUAUCGUAAGGAAGACCAGUGGCGAAGGCGGGUCUCUGGACAGUUCCUGACGCUGAGGCACGAAGGUCAGGGGAGCAAACGGG
Molecule: ribosomal RNA, 254 nt
Filed under: uncultured bacterium
Lineage: Bacteria
Description: partial 16S ribosomal RNA
Rfam family: Bacterial small subunit ribosomal RNA
Source: RNAcentral